This 497-nucleotide ribosomal RNA is filed under the name uncultured bacterium. RNAcentral's name for it is "partial 16S ribosomal RNA". It matches the Rfam family "Bacterial small subunit ribosomal RNA", at positions 28 to 507 of the family's 1533-position model. The record is from RNAcentral.
GAUGAACGCUGGCGGCGUGCCUAAUACAUGCAAGUCGAGCGAACAGACGAGGAGCUUGCUCCUCUGACGUUAGCGGCGGACGGGUGAGUAACACGUGGAUAACCUACCUAUAAGACUGGGAUAACUUCGGGAAACCGGAGCUAAUACCGUAUAAUAUAUUGAACCGCAUGGUUCAAUAGUGAAAGACGGUUUUGCUGUCACUUAUAGAUGGAUCGGCGCUGCAUUAGCUAGUUGGUAAGGUAACGGCUUACCAAGGCAACGAUGCGUAGCCGACCUGAGAGGGUGAUCGGCCACACUGGAACUGAGACACGGUACAGACGCCUACGGGAGGCAGCAGUAGGGACUCUUGCGCAAUGGGCGAAGGCCUGACGGAGCAACGCCGCGUGAGUGAUGAAGGUCUUCGGAUCGUAAAACUCUGUUAUUAGGGAAGAACAAAUGUGUAAGUAACUAUGCACGUCUUGACGGUACCUAAUCAGAAAGCCACGGCUAACUACGUG